CCAAUAGCGUAUAUUAAAGUUGUUGCAGUUAAAAAGCUCGUAGUUGAAUUUCGGGAUCAAUACGUCGGUCGUGCCUCCGGUAUGUACUGGCGUUGUUGGUUUCUCCUUUCUGAGGAGCCAUGAUGCCAUUAAUUUGGUGUGGUGGGGAAUCAGGACUGUUACUUUGAAAAAAUUAGAGUGUUUAAAGCAGGCACACGCUUGAAUACAUUAGCAUGGAAUAAUGAAAUAGGACGUUCGAUUCUAUUUUGUUGGUUUCUAGGAUCAACGUAAUGAUUAAUAGGGAUAGUUGGGGGCAUUAGUAUUCAAUUGUCAGAGGUGAAAUUCUUGGAUUUAUUGAAGACUAACUACUGCGAAAGCAUUUGCCAAGGAUGUUUUCAUUAAUCAAGAACGAAAGUUAGGGGAUCGAAGACGAUCAGAUACCGUCGUAGUCUUAACCAUAAACUAUGCCGACUAGGGAUCGGAUGAUGUUAAUUUUUUAAUGACUCAUUCGGCGCCUUACG
This 500-nucleotide ribosomal RNA is filed under the name uncultured Glomeromycotina. RNAcentral describes it as "partial small subunit ribosomal RNA". It matches the Rfam family "Eukaryotic small subunit ribosomal RNA", at positions 591 to 1092 of the family's 1831-position model. Lineage: Eukaryota; Fungi; Glomeromycota. The record is from RNAcentral.